RNAcentral lists this ribosomal RNA (830 nucleotides) under Pochazia shantungensis. Its description in RNAcentral is "SSU rRNA". It matches the Rfam family "Eukaryotic small subunit ribosomal RNA", at positions 794 to 1633 of the family's 1831-position model. The record is from RNAcentral. Lineage: Eukaryota; Metazoa; Arthropoda; Insecta; Hemiptera; Ricaniidae.
CAUUUAUGUUGUGUGCAUGGAAUAAUGGAAUAGGACCUCGGUUCUAUUUUGUUGGUUUUCGGAAUCUGAGGUAAUGAUCAAUGGGGACAGGCGGGGGCAUUCGUAUUGCGACGUUAGAGGUGAAAUUCUUGGAUCGUCGCAAGACGGACCGAAGCGAAAGCAUUUGCCAAGUAUGUUCUCGUCGAUCAAGAACGAAAGUUAGAGGUUCGAAGGCGAUCAGAUACCGCCCUAGUUCUAACCAUAAACUAUGCCUGCCAGCGAUCCGCCGAAGUUCCUCCGAUGACUCGGCGGGCAGCUUCCGGGAAACCAGAGCUUUUGGGUUCCGGGGGAAGUAUGGUUGCAAAGCUGAAACUUAAAGGAAUUGACGGAAGGGCACCACCAGGAGUGGAGCCUGCGGCUUAAUUUGACUCAACACGGGAAAACUCACCAGGCCCGGACACCGGAAGGAUUGACAGAUUGAGAGCUCUUUCUUGAUUCGGUGGGUGGUGGUGCAUGGCCGUUCUUAGUUGGUGGAGCGAUUUGUCUGGUUAAUUCCGAUAACGAACGAGACUCUAGCCUACUAACUAGGCGUACCCGGUAUCCACAAUCGUGCUACCGGCGAUCAAAUUUCUUCUUAGAGGGACAGGCGGCUUCUAGCCGCACGAGACUGAGCAAUAACAGGUCUGUGAUGCCCUUAGAUGUCCUGGGCCGCACGCGCGCUACACUGAAGGAAUCAGCGUGUCUUCCCUGUCCGAAAGGACCGGGUAAUCCGCUGAACCUCCUUUGUGCUAGGGAUUGGGGCUUGCAAUUGUUCCCCAUGAACGAGGAAUCCCAGUAAGCGCGAUCUUCCC